Molecule: non-coding RNA, 45 nt
Organism: Schistosoma mattheei
Lineage: Eukaryota; Metazoa; Platyhelminthes; Trematoda; Strigeidida; Schistosomatidae
Source: Rfam
AUCCAGCUGACGAGUGGCAAAUAGAGCGAAACACGUGUCCUGGAU